UGAAGCCAGAACUUUGUUUGCUGCAUUAGAUUAUAACCACCACAACCACAGACCACCAAUGGUUACCAGAGAAGGCAACAGAGUAUACCAGAAGGUAUACAACAAGAAUUCCCAGAGGUAUAGCCUGUAGACCAUUAAGAGCCACAAAACCUACACUUACGUCCUUGACCUACAGAGAGCCAUCAAUGGGAUAUAUUUGGGGUCUGGGAAGGGAGUGCCAACAGGAAGGACCCUCAGGGCAGAUGAUCCGUGGAGAUUUUGCCUUCUUCCAGCUAUAGAGCCACCAACAACAGAAGAAUUGCUUGAGAGCCAUGUCCCAAGACAAGAGCUUGUGUCCAAAAGAAAGAACAACUUGGAACAAGGACUUCUGCUGACAGAGCACACCAUGACUUUUUAUUAUCAAGCUGUUUGUAAAUAUUUAGUGAGUUGUUUUUUUGCAUUU
Molecule: long non-coding RNA, 442 nt
Organism: Thunnus maccoyii (southern bluefin tuna)
Lineage: Eukaryota; Metazoa; Chordata; Actinopteri; Scombriformes; Scombridae
Exons: 3
Source: RefSeq, a predicted model, not a curated record